This 75-nucleotide transfer RNA is filed under the name Candidatus Wolfebacteria bacterium CG_4_10_14_0_8_um_filter_37_11. Its description in RNAcentral is "tRNA-Cys". It matches the Rfam family "tRNA". From Rfam's summary of the family: Transfer RNA (tRNA) molecules are approximately 80 nucleotides in length. The record is from RNAcentral. Lineage: Bacteria; Candidatus Wolfeibacteriota.
GGCCUCGUAGCCAAGUGGUAAGGCAAGAGUCUGCAAAACUCUUACACGGGAGUUCGAUUCUCCCCGAGGCCUCAA